Molecule: ribosomal RNA, 700 nt
Filed under: uncultured bacterium
Lineage: Bacteria
Description: bacterial SSU rRNA
Rfam family: Bacterial small subunit ribosomal RNA
Source: RNAcentral
GCGGCAGCGAGUUCAACACUGCGUACUUGAAUAUUCGAGUAUGGAGUGUUGAAUGUCGGCGAGAGGCGGACGGGUGAGUAACGCGUAGGAAUAUACCCCAAAGUGAGGGAUAAGCUCAAGAAAUUGAGUCUAAUACCGCAUAUGGUCUUCGGAUUAAAGCUUCGGCGCUUUGGGAAUAGCCUGCGUAUGAUUAGCUAGUUGGCGGGGUAAUGGCCCACCAAGGCGACGAUCAUUAGCUGGUCUGAGAGGAUGAUCAGCCACACUGGAACUGAGACACGGUCCAGACUCCUACGGGAGGCAGCAGUUAGGAAUAUUUCACAAUGGGCGAAAGCCUGAUGAAGCAACGCCGCGUGCAGGACGAAGGCCUUCGGGUCGUAAACUGCUUUUAUGAGUGAAGAAUAUGACGGUAACUCAUGAAUAAGGGUCUGCUAACUACGUGCCAGCAGCCGCGGUCAUACGUGGGACCCAAGCGUUAUCCGGAUUAACCGGGCGUAAAGAGUUGCGUAGGCGGUUUGUUAAGCGAAUAGUGAAACCUGGUGGCUCAACCAUUCAGACUAUUAUUCGAACUGGCAAACUAGAGAUCAGUAGGGGUACCUGGAAUUUCUAAUGUAGGGGUAAUAUCCGUAGAUAUUAGAAGGAACACCGAUAGCGUAGGCAGGGUACUGGACUGAUUCUGACGCUCAGGCACGAAAGCGUGGGG